AGUUGGUGGAGUGAUUUGUCUGGUUAAUUCCGUUAACGAACGAGAUCUUUACCUGCUAAAUAGAACAUAGUUUCUUCGGAAACUUAGCUUUCUUCUUAGAGGGACUGUGUCAUUUUCAGGGCACGGAGGUUAGAGGCAAUAACAGG
Molecule: ribosomal RNA, 146 nt
Filed under: Dinophyceae sp.
Lineage: Eukaryota; Dinophyceae
Description: partial small subunit ribosomal RNA
Rfam family: Eukaryotic small subunit ribosomal RNA
Source: RNAcentral